Molecule: long non-coding RNA, 630 nt
Filed under: Selaginella moellendorffii
Lineage: Eukaryota; Viridiplantae; Streptophyta; Lycopodiopsida; Selaginellales; Selaginellaceae
Description: long non-coding RNA (SMOE_LNC000253)
Source: RNAcentral
CAGCUUCUCUCUCCACUCUCGCAAGGUAAGUUCGUUUAGAUAGGGCUUUUCUUUGCGUUAGCAGUAAACGAGUAAGACAGCAAUUUGGAAAGCGAAGCUGCUUGCAACGAGCUAAGAGGUCUGUUAGAGGCGAUCAAGAAAUCGUGUUGAAACUCUCAACGUUUGAAAAUUGCAACGCAAAAGGGAGCCAGUGACACUACAAACAACUCAAACGGGCCAAGGAACUCUCAACGCGAAGGAUGUGGACAACGCUCUGUGAAUACAAACAAACUAGAUGUUGCCAGGUUCGCGUGUGUUUUGAAAUUUCUUGUCAUGAAGAAGCCAACAUGUUGGUGCUGCUCAACGACGAUAAGAACUGAAAAACGCCUUGUCACAGCGUGUGCCAAGAAGAAAAAUGCUACUAGAUUGGAGAGAUUUUGUGUCAACGUUUUGGAGAGAUUGUCAGUGCUUUGAGUUAUGUUGUUGCUGCGCUCAACGCAAGACCGGUGAGCUGAGAAACAACGUUGGGCAUCUGCGAUCUUCAGAACUUCAAUCCAGCUGAAGACGUACAUGACAAUGACAACAACAAUCAUGAUCCGUCGCUGAUCCUUAGCCAGACCGGUCAACUGCCGCACCUCUCCACCUCUGAAG